AGAGAAUUAUGUCAGUGAAAAAGCUUCUAACUUAUUUCCCGAGCGGUUGGACUCCGUUCACUUCUC
This 66-nucleotide transfer RNA is filed under the name Cherax monticola. RNAcentral's name for it is "tRNA-Ser". The record is from RNAcentral. Lineage: Eukaryota; Metazoa; Arthropoda; Malacostraca; Decapoda; Parastacidae.